Molecule: ribosomal RNA, 388 nt
Filed under: uncultured bacterium
Lineage: Bacteria
Description: bacterial SSU rRNA
Rfam family: Bacterial small subunit ribosomal RNA
Source: RNAcentral
GACGAACGCUGGCGGCGUGCUUAACACAUGCAAGUCGAGCGGUAAGGCCCUUUCGGGGGUACACGAGCGGCGAACGGGUGAGUAACACGUGGGUGACCUGCCCUCAGCUCUGGGAUAAGCCUGGGAAACUGGGUCUAAUACUGGAUAUGACUCCACGGUGCAUGUCGUGGGGUGGAAAGCCUUGUGCGGCUGAGGAUGGGCCCGCGGCCUAUCAGCUUGUUGGUGGGGNGAUGGCCUACCAAGGCGACGACGGGUAGCCGGCCUGAGAGGGCGACCGGCCACACUGGGACUGAGACGCGGCCCAGACUCCUACGGGAGGCAGCAGUGGGGAAUCUUGCGCAAUGGGCGAAAGCCUGACGCAGCGACGCCGCGUGAGGGAUGACGGCCU